UGAGUAACCUGCCCUUAACUCUGGGAUAAGCCUGGGAAACUGGGUCUAAUACCGGAUAUGACUCCUCAUCGCAUGGGUGGGGGGUGGAAAGCUUUAUUGUGGUUUUGGAUGGACUCGCGGCCUAUCAGCUUGUUGGUGAGGUAAUGGCUCACCAAGGCGACGACGGGUAGCCGGCCUGAGAGGGUGACCGGCCACACGUGGGACUGAGACACGGCCCAGACCUCCGUACGGGAGGCAG
RNAcentral lists this ribosomal RNA (238 nucleotides) under uncultured bacterium. RNAcentral's name for it is "partial 16S ribosomal RNA". It matches the Rfam family "Bacterial small subunit ribosomal RNA", at positions 118 to 351 of the family's 1533-position model. The record is from RNAcentral.